UACGGGGGGUGCAAGCGUUACUCGGAAUCACUGGGCGUAAAGGGAGCGUAGGCGUUUUAUUAAGUCUCGAGUGAAAGCCCGCAGCUCAACUGCGGAACUGCUCGGGAAACUGAUAGAAUUGAGUAUGGAAGAGGUCGGUGGAAUUUCCAGUGUAGGGGUAAAAUCCGUAGAUAUUGGAAGGAAUACCAGAAGCGAAGGCGACCGACUGGGACAUUACUGACGCUGAGGCUCGAAAGCGUGGGGAGCAAACAGG
Molecule: ribosomal RNA, 253 nt
Filed under: uncultured bacterium
Lineage: Bacteria
Description: partial 16S ribosomal RNA
Rfam family: Bacterial small subunit ribosomal RNA
Source: RNAcentral